AGGGGCAGCGGGGAAAAGCUUGCUUUUCCGCCGGCGACCGGCGCACGGGUGCGGAACGCGUAUGGAACCUGCCCCUGUCAGGGGAAUAGCCCAGGGAAACUUGGAUUAAUGCCCCAUGGUACCGUUAUAUCGCAUGAUAUUACGGUUAAAGAUUUAUCGGAANGGGNAGGGCCAUGCGUACCAUUAGUUAGUUGGUGAGGUAACGGCUCACCAAGGCAGCGAUGGUUAGGGGCCCUGAGAGGGGGAUCCCCCACACUGGUACUGAGACACGGACCAGACUCCUACGGGAGGCAGCAGUGAGGAAUAUUGGACAAUGGGCGGGAGCCUGAUCCAGCCAUGCCGCGUGCAGGAUGACGGCCCUAUGGGUUGUAAACUGCUUUUAUACGGGAAGAAACGCGCCCACGUGUGGGCGUUUGACGGUACCGUAAGAAUAAGGACCGGCUAACUCCGUGCCAGCAGCCGCGGUAAUACGGAGGGUCCGAGCGUUAUCCGGAAUCAUUGGGUUUAAAGGGUCCGUAGGCGGGCCUGUAAGUCAGGGGUGAAAGUUUGUGGCUCAACCAUAAAAUUGCCUUUGAUACUGCAGGUCUUGAGUCAUGGUGGGGUUGCCGGAACAUGUGGUGUAGCGGUGAAAUGCAUAGAUAUCACAUAGAACACCGAUCGCGAANGCAGGUGACCAACCAUGUACUGACGCUNAUGGACGAAAGCGUGGGUAGCGAACGGGAUUAGAUACCCCGGUAGUCCACGCCGUNNNNAUGGAUAC
This 760-nucleotide ribosomal RNA is filed under the name marine CFB-group bacterium SY229. RNAcentral describes it as "bacterial SSU rRNA". It matches the Rfam family "Bacterial small subunit ribosomal RNA", at positions 65 to 816 of the family's 1533-position model. Lineage: Bacteria; Pseudomonadati; Bacteroidota. The record is from RNAcentral.